CUUGCUACUUUGCUGACGAGCGGCGGACGGGUGAGUAAUGCUUGGGAACAUGCCUUGAGGUGGGGGACAACAGUUGGAAACGACUGCUAAUACCGCAUAAUGUCUACGGACCAAAGGGGGCUUCGGCUCUCGCCUUUAGAUUGGCCCAAGUGGGAUUAGCUAGUUGGUGAGGUAAUGGCUCACCAAGGCGACGAUCCCUAGCUGGUUUGAGAGGAUGAUCAGCCACACUGGGACUGAGACACGGCCCAGACUCCUACGGGAGGCAGCAGUGGGGAAUAUUGCACAAUGGGCGCAAGCCUGAUGCAGCCAUGCCGCGUGUGUGAAGAAGGCCUUCGGGUUGUAAAGCACUUUCAGUCAGGAGGAAAGCGUGGUGGUUAAUACCCAUCAUGUGUGACGUUACUGACAGAAGAAGCACCGGCUAACUCCGUGCCAGCAGCCGCGGUAAUACGGAGGGUGCGAGCGUUAAUCGGAAUUACUGGGCGUAAAGCGUACGCAGGCGGUUUGUUAAGCGAGAUGUGAAAGCCCCGGGCUC
RNAcentral lists this ribosomal RNA (532 nucleotides) under uncultured Pseudoalteromonas sp. RNAcentral describes it as "bacterial SSU rRNA". It matches the Rfam family "Bacterial small subunit ribosomal RNA", at positions 75 to 610 of the family's 1533-position model. The record is from RNAcentral. Lineage: Bacteria; Pseudomonadati; Pseudomonadota; Gammaproteobacteria; Alteromonadales; Pseudoalteromonadaceae.